This 595-nucleotide long non-coding RNA is filed under the name Sorghum bicolor (sorghum). RNAcentral's name for it is "long non-coding RNA (SBIC_LNC007576)". Lineage: Eukaryota; Viridiplantae; Streptophyta; Magnoliopsida; Poales; Poaceae. The record is from RNAcentral.
UCUGCAACGGCUACAUGAAUGAAGACAAUGUGAAUACUGCUUGUUCUAUGAUGUGAAAGGAAAUAGAACUAAAGAGGGGAGAUUGUUACCAUGAUAUGUGACACUGUAAAAACUCCAAUCAUACCAUCGUUGUCUGGAGGUAGCUCCAAUCCUGAAUCUUCUCCAAAAAACAAAACCUGAAAUACCAGGUUUGGGUCGAGCGCCAGGUCAAAAAUCAUGGCCCAAACAAGCAGUACACACUACACAAAAAAUCAAUACAAAAAGAUUGACAACUCAAAUGGUCGUAGAAAAGGUGCACGAAAAUCUCUAUAGCCCAGUCAAAUAAGUAAUAAAAAAAGGUCCGAAAUGAGCCGUAGGAGGGCUUGCCUCCAGUUUAUUAAUACCUGGCCUUCUCUUUCUGCAAGUAAAUAUUGUCACUGCCCAACAACUAACGCUUUGUCCAAGAUUAACAUAUUUGUGUGUUCACUAAAACAAGUAAGUCUAAAUUUAUAGAUGCAAAACAAUGGAGUAGUAGAUGCAACUUUGCAGAUACAGAACGUGCAUAGAUGACCAAUAUCAGUAUCAAGUAUCAACACAUCACUAAUAGCAGUGUGGA